Molecule: ribosomal RNA, 467 nt
Filed under: uncultured bacterium
Lineage: Bacteria
Description: partial 16S ribosomal RNA
Rfam family: Bacterial small subunit ribosomal RNA
Source: RNAcentral
GACGAACGCUGGCGGCGUGCUUAACACAUGCAAGUCGAACGGAAAGGCCUCUUUCGGGGGGUACUCGAGUGGCGAACGGGUGAGUAACACGUGAGUAACCUGCCCUUGACUUUGGGAUAACUUCAGGAAACUGGGGCUAAUACCGGAUAGGAGCUCCUGCUGCAUGGCGGGGGUUGGAAAGUUUCGGCGGUUGGGGAUGGACUCGCGGCUUAUCGGCUUGUUGGUGGGGUAGUGGCUUACCGAGGCUUUGACGGGUAGCCGGCCUGAGAGGGUGACCGGCCACAUUGGGACUGAGAUACGGCCCAGACUCCUACGGGAGGCAGCAGUGGGGAAUAUUGCACAAUGGGUGGAAGCCUGAUGCAGCAACGCCGUGUGCGGGAUGACGGCCUUCGGGUUGUAAACCGCUUUCGCUCAUGACGAAGCUUUGUGUGACGGUAGUGGGUAAAGAAGCACCGGCUAACUACGUG